RNAcentral lists this ribosomal RNA (556 nucleotides) under Bifidobacterium dentium. RNAcentral's name for it is "bacterial SSU rRNA". It matches the Rfam family "Bacterial small subunit ribosomal RNA", at positions 147 to 711 of the family's 1533-position model. Lineage: Bacteria; Bacillati; Actinomycetota; Actinomycetes; Bifidobacteriales; Bifidobacteriaceae. The record is from RNAcentral.
CUCCUGGAAAACGGGUGGUAAUGCCGGAUGCUCCGGUUGGAUGCAUGUCCUUCCGGGAAAGAUUCUAUCGGUAUGGGAUGGGGUCGCGUCCUAUCAGCUUGAUGGCGGGGUAACGGCCCACCAUGGCUUCGACGGGUAGCCGGCCUGAGAGGGCGACCGGCCACAUUGGGACUGAGAUACGGCCCAGACUCCUACGGGAGGCAGCAGUGGGGAAUAUUGCACAAUGGGCGCAAGCCUGAUGCAGCGACGCCGCGUGCGGGAUGGAGGCCUUCGGGUUGUAAACCGCUUUUGAUCGGGAGCAAGCCCUUCGGGGUGAGUGUACCUUUCGAAUAAGCACCGGCUAACUACGUGCCAGCAGCCGCGGUAAUACGUAGGGUGCAAGCGUUAUCCGGAAUUAUUGGGCGUAAAGGGCUCGUAGGCGGUUCGUCGCGUCCGGUGUGAAAGCCCAUCGCUUAACGGUGGGUCUGCGCCGGGUACGGGCGGGCUGGAGUGCGGUAGGGGAGACUGGAAUUCCCGGUGUAACGGUGGAAUGUGUAGAUAUCGGGAAAGAACACCA